RNAcentral lists this ribosomal RNA (217 nucleotides) under uncultured bacterium. RNAcentral describes it as "partial 16S ribosomal RNA". It matches the Rfam family "Bacterial small subunit ribosomal RNA", at positions 114 to 334 of the family's 1533-position model. The record is from RNAcentral.
UGCAUCGGAACGUGCCCAGUAGUGGGGGAUAGCCCGGCGAAAGCCGGAUUAAUACCGCAUACGACCUCAGGGUGAAAGCGGGGGAUCGCAAGACCUCGCGCUAUUGGAGCGGCCGAUGUCAGAUUAGGUUGUUGGUGAGGUAAAAGCUCACCAAGCCGACGAUCUGUAGCUGGUCUGAGAGGACGACCAGCCACACUGGGACUGAGACACGGCCCAG